RNAcentral lists this ribosomal RNA (247 nucleotides) under uncultured bacterium. RNAcentral describes it as "partial 16S ribosomal RNA". It matches the Rfam family "Bacterial small subunit ribosomal RNA", at positions 523 to 769 of the family's 1533-position model. The record is from RNAcentral.
AUACGUAGGGGGCGAGCGUUGUCCGGAAUCACUGGGCGUAAAGCGCACGUAGGCGGGCUGUUAAGUCGGCCGUGAAAGGCACUGGCUCAACCGGUGUUUGUCGGUCGAUACUGGCAGUCUGGAGUAUGGGAGAGGGAACUGGAAUUCCCGGUGUAGCGGUGAAAUGCGUAGAUAUCAGGAGGGACACCGGUGGCGAAGGCGGCUACCUGGACCGAUAUUGACGCUGAGACGCGAAAGCGUGGGUAGC